This 494-nucleotide ribosomal RNA is filed under the name uncultured bacterium. RNAcentral describes it as "partial 16S ribosomal RNA". It matches the Rfam family "Bacterial small subunit ribosomal RNA", at positions 28 to 507 of the family's 1533-position model. The record is from RNAcentral.
GACGAACGCUGGCGGCGCGCUUAACACAUGCAAGUCGAACGGAAAGGCCUGCUUUCCCUUGUGGAUUGCGGGUACUCGAGUGGCGAACGGGUGAGUAACACGUGAGUGAUCUGCCCCCAACUUGGGUAUAAGCCUGGGAAACUGGGUCUAAUUCCCGAUAGGACUGCAGGGUGGUGCCUGUGGUGGAAAACGAUUUUCUAGUGGUUGGGGAUGAGCUCGCGGCCUAUCAGCUUGUUGGUGGGGUAAUGGCCUACCAAGGCGGCGACGGGUAGCCGGCCUGGGAGGGUGGACGGCCACAUUGGGACUGAGAUACGGCCCAGACUCCUACGGGAGGCAGCAGUGGGGAGUAGUGCACAAUGGGCGGAAGCCUGAUGCAGCGACGCCGCGUGGGGGAUGACGGCCUUCGGGUUGUAAACUCCUUUCGACCGCGAGGAAGCCACCUGGUUGGAAGGGUGGUGACGGUAGUGGUAGAAGAAGCACCGGCUAACUACGUG